Molecule: ribosomal RNA, 520 nt
Filed under: uncultured prokaryote
Description: bacterial SSU rRNA
Rfam family: Bacterial small subunit ribosomal RNA
Source: RNAcentral
GGGUCCUCAUGCAUAAACCCUGGGAUGGACGGUCAAUCUCCUGAACAAGAAGCAACCCAAUUGACUUUACUGCAUUCGUACCAUAACGGUACCGUAAGAAUAAGCACCGGCUAACUACGUGCCAGCAGCCGCGGUAAUACGUAGGGUGCAAGCGUUAAUCGGAAUUACUGGGCGUAAAGCGUGCGCAGGCGGUUAUAUAAGACAGAUGUGAAAUCCCCGGGCUCAACCUGGGAACUGCAUUUGUGACUGUAUAGCUAGAGUACGGCACAGGGGGAUGGAAUUCCGCGUGUAGCAGUGAAAUGCGUAGAUAUGCUGAGGAACACCGAUGGCGAAGGCAAUCCCCUGGGCCUGUACUGACGCUCAUGCACUAAAUCCUUGGGGAGCAAACACGAUUAUAUACCCUGGGUAGUCCACCCCCUAAACGAUGUCCACUGGUUGUUGGCACUUCACUUCCUCAAUAACGAACCUACCGCUUGAAUUUGACCGCUGGGGUAGUACGGCCGCACUGCUCAAACUCAAA